Molecule: long non-coding RNA, 343 nt
Organism: Aquila chrysaetos chrysaetos
Lineage: Eukaryota; Metazoa; Chordata; Aves; Accipitriformes; Accipitridae
Exons: 3
Source: RefSeq, a predicted model, not a curated record
AUGAACAUCUGCAGAAGCUGUAACCCUUGACAAGAAGUCUGGUUUUGGAUCUAAAAUUAUCUAGGCAUGAACCUUCAGAAAUGGAUGUGGUAGCAAAGAAAUCUCCAGGUUUAUCUCUGCUCUUGUGCUGAGUCUGUGGACAGGCAAAACUAUGGAGAAAACAGUGCGCAGACACGAAAGACAUCUUGAGGAGCAAGUAUAAACGGACUUUCUGGAGUCACCGACCUCCUCCUUUUUGCUUGCUCUAUCAGUUUGCCGAAGCAAAAAGCAGUUAUGGCUGAAACUAGCAGAGCCAGCCUGUAAGUAGUGGCAAAAGUUUUGGAAACUUAGCAAAUGCAGCAUU